CGACCUAUCCUUGGCCGACAGGCCCGGGUAAUCUUUGAAACUGCAUCGUGAUGGGGAUAGAUUAUUGCAAUUAUUAAUCUUCAACGAGGAAUGCCUAGUAAGCGCGAGUCAUCAGCUCGCGUUGAUUACGUCCCUGCCCUUUGUACACACCGCCCGUCGCUCCUACCGAUUGGGUGUGCUGGUGAAGCGUUCGGAUUGGCGUUGGUGGGCGGUUUUCCGCCUCCCCUCGCUGAGAAGUUCGUUAAACCCUCCCACCUAGAGGAAGGAGAAGUCGUAACAAGGUUUCCGUAGGUGAACCUGCGGAAGGAUCAUUGAAUCUAUCGUGUCCACACCGCGAAACUACUAAAGCCCUUCUGGAGUAGGCAGACUGCACAGUCUGACCUUCAGUUGCGCAGGUCAGGGGCUGGCUCCUUUUGGUGUCAGUUGACUUGACUGGGCGGGUCCGAUACCAUGCGGAUUCACCUUGCCUUUAUGGCUUGGGGUCAUGCCGGAUGUGAGGGGUGGCGGUUAACAUACCUUAAGCAAUUAAUUCUGAAGACAGAUCUACUGGCUGGCUUUGCUGACUGUAGACUGAAUAAUUACAGACAACUCUCAACAACGGAUAUCUUGGCUCCCGUAACGAUGAAGAACGCAGCGAAAUGCGAUACGUAGUGUGAAUUGCAGAAUUCCGUGAACCAUCGAAUCUUUGAACGCAAAUUGCGCUCGAGGCUUCGGCCAAGAGCAUGUCUGCCUCAGCGUCGGCUACUACCCUCAACCUAGUUUCCUAUUAUAUGAUAGGGGAUGCCGGUUGGAUAUGGCCGUCCGGUUUGCCUGAAUGCUAGCCGGUCAGCUGAAAUACAUUCACGCUGUGGAAGCUGCUUUCCUGUCAAGGAGAGGCGAGUUCCGAUUUGGUAGGUGACCCUUGCCGGUUACAUGCCUUCGUUGCCCGCCAGGCUUCCAAUCAUGCGUUGUGCAGGACGCCUUUUGGCUUUCGACCUGAGGUCAUG
This 986-nucleotide ribosomal RNA is filed under the name Trebouxia sp. BGK-2018. RNAcentral's name for it is "bacterial SSU rRNA". The stretch from base 1 to 314 matches the Rfam family "Eukaryotic small subunit ribosomal RNA", at positions 1520 to 1831 of the family's 1831-position model. The record is from RNAcentral. Lineage: Eukaryota; Viridiplantae; Chlorophyta; Trebouxiophyceae; Trebouxiales; Trebouxiaceae.